UCGCCUUUCACUCUUCUUAUGCCCCCGAUACCCCGAUCAUUCCUGACAGCUCCUGAGUGCCCGGAUUUCAUCAUCCAGCCCUGCAGGAUGCUCCCAUUUCUCCUGAGGAUGGCUGUCCCAGAUGGAGAAGAGGAGAUGGAGGUGGAUAUAGAGAUUGAUAGAGAGGAGGACAUGGAGACGGAGGGAGAAGACACUGGGGAGGAGGAGAUGGAGGUGGAGGUGAAGGUGGAAGAGGAGAUGGAAGUGGAUAUGGAAGAGUCCAUUGAGGACAUGGACAUUGAUUAAAAAGGUGUGAUGGACAGCACAGACAGAGACACCACCCUUGUGUAUAUAUGUUCUACACUUUGUUGUUGUUCUUUAGAAUAUAGAUUGUAGGGCUAUUUUUGACUUCUGUAAAUACGUUUCCCAUAGUUUUGCUAGGUAGGUUUUUCUUUAUAUAUGUUCUAUCGAUUGUUGUUGUUACAAAUAUUCUUACAAUGUAAAUAUGUUCUGUAUUUUUGCUGCUGUUCUUCUGUAAUAAACAAAUUUUAUUUUUCACACCCCAGUUCUCCUUGCAUUUGCUUCAGGCACAGGCAGCAUUUUGCAAAGUUGUAGUUUCCACUUGCUCCAGGUUCCCAGGGCUGGAGGUCAGAAGUAGAUGAAGGGGAAAAAAAUGCACAAUUAAAGGUGUCCAAGACACCCAGAGCCAAAAGAAGCCCAGGGGAUUAGGAAAGAGGGAAGCACGUGCUCCAAACAACAGCAGAAAUGAAGUGAGAGCUCUGGAGGGAAUAAAAGAAAGAGGAAGUCUGAAGAAAGGAAAAAACGUCUCCCCACAAGGUGUUUUGCUUUUUUUCCUUGAGAGCCUCUUCUAUCAUGUGGUGGAAACCCAGAAAAAUAAAGGUCAGGAGAAGCAUGGUUUAUUGGGAACAUUCCUCCUUAGUAGACAAUCCUUGUGCAAAUCAUCCCAUGCAGCACUCACACAUUUAAUUGCUUCUCUUCCUGGGGAUGCAGAGUUGCUUUAUUUACUCCAAGCAAGAUUUUCUCCCUCCUCCCUGGCAAAGAACAAGCUCCCAUCCUGGCAAGCGCUCACUUCUUUCCUUAACACUCAUCACACCCAUGCUAAGGAGAGUGGAGAAGGUUAAUUUAUCACUUGUUGCAAGUUCUAAGUCCUUCUUAGAUAAGGACCAUGUUCAGCUGAGUGACAGUGAAGCAAAAUGGCAAGCCAGGAAUACAUUGCCGUGCACACAACAUCCUCCAUUCACAUGGAUGGUAUCUCACUGGCACACAGGAGGAAGGAAGGAACCCAAAUGCAUCAUUGUACAUCAAGUCAUAAAUGUUGAGGGAUGAACAGAUCUCAUGGGGAGAUGGAAACCUCCCCUGAAAAGCAGUUCAGAGAAAUCCUGAGCUGUUUUGUGCUGCUAGGCAUGAAGAUGCUCAGGAUCUUCCACAGGUGCUCAGCAGGCAGCAGGAUUGUGGCUGGAUGUCACUCUGGAAAUGCCAGUGGCUCAGCUGAGAGCUCUGGCAGUGACUGACACUGCACU
Passer domesticus (house sparrow) is the source of this 1520-nucleotide long non-coding RNA. RefSeq lists it as uncharacterized. The transcript has 3 exons. Lineage: Eukaryota; Metazoa; Chordata; Aves; Passeriformes; Passeridae. The record is from RefSeq and is a predicted model, not a curated record.